This 497-nucleotide ribosomal RNA is filed under the name uncultured bacterium. RNAcentral describes it as "partial 16S ribosomal RNA". It matches the Rfam family "Bacterial small subunit ribosomal RNA", at positions 28 to 507 of the family's 1533-position model. The record is from RNAcentral.
GAUGAACGCUGGCGGCGUGCCUAAUACAUGCAAGUCGAGCGAACAGACGAGGAGCUUGCUCCUCUGACGUUAGCGGCGGACGGGUGAGUAACACGUGGAUAACCUACCUAUAAGACUGGGAUAACUUCGGGAAACCGGAGAUAAUACAGGAUAAUAUAUUGAACCGCAUGGUUCAAUAGUGAAAGACGGUUUUGCUGUCACUUAUAGAUGGAUCCGCGUCGCAUUAGCUAGUUGGUAAGGUAACGGCUUACCAAGGCAACGAUGCGUAGCUGACCUGAGAGGAUGAUCAGCCACACUGGAACUGAGACACGGUCCAGACUCCUACGGGAGGCAGCAGUAGGGAAUCUUCCGCAAUGGGCGAAAGCUUGACGGAGCAACGCCGCGUGAGUGAUGAAGGUCUUCGGAUCGUAAAACUCUGUUAUUAGGGAAGAACAGAUGUGUAAGUAACUAUGCACGUCUUGACGGUACCUAAUCAAAAAGCCACGGCUAACUACGUG